Pollicipes pollicipes is the source of this 701-nucleotide long non-coding RNA. RefSeq lists it as uncharacterized. The record is from RefSeq and is a predicted model, not a curated record. Lineage: Eukaryota; Metazoa; Arthropoda; Thecostraca; Pollicipedomorpha; Pollicipedidae. The transcript has 2 exons.
CGCCGCUGCCGCCGCCGCCGCCGCCGGCGGCGGCUGAAGACGUGCCGCUCUGCCAGGGCUGCCGCAUACGGCCGGCGCAGUUUGUGUGCGCCGGCUGCGGCAACCAGUGGUAUUGCUCCCGCGAGUGUCAGGUGGCAGCGUGGGACAGUCAUGCGGAUGACUGCUCGGGCUGAGUCGGCCGGCCGGCGACCGACGCUGCCAGAGGGACCACGCCACGCUCACCGGCUCGCCGCCCCCGCCCCGCCCCGCCCCGCCGCGUGCAGAGCUUGGUGCCGGCGCUCGCUCACCGCGGGACGCCAUGUUGUGUGUAUAGAGGGGGAGGGACAAUCAGCUGUCGUUAAUCAUGUUGUAUGAGUUCAAGGCGCGCUGUGCGGGAUUUGUUGUUGUUGAGGUGAACGCGGCUGUUGUUGGCGCCGACACCAUUGACUUUUAUGUACAAUAAGUGUGGACACGCUCAGAUCUGAUGCGACGUGGCUCGCAGAGCCUCUAUUUUGUGCGGUAUUUUCUGUCCCCAGCUAUUUUACUAUUUAUGAUAAUCGGCGCAACACUCGCCGGGCCGGCCCGCGUGCUGGCAGCCCGCGCGCGUGCGUUAUGUUGCCGGCGGCUUUUACAUCACUGGCUUGUGCCAUGGCGAUCGUUGGGCGUUGACGGGAUGUGCAUGUAUGUGCCCUGAUGUUGUGAAUACAUUUGGAGGGUUCUGA